Xyrichtys novacula (pearly razorfish) is the source of this 10832-nucleotide non-coding RNA. The record is from the annotation of a GenBank genome assembly. NCBI's taxonomy places the organism in Eukaryota, Metazoa, Chordata, Actinopteri, Labriformes, Labridae.
ACACAAAUUAAAACAUCUGGUUUCUUUUCAAAAUAAAACACUACAUGUUUCAAGCGGAUUGUAUUUUACACCAUGCAAAUGUGGGCAGGGACGAACAAGUUACAGGUAUAUAGAGACGACACAUUAUCGCGCAAUUGCAUGUGACUUUGCUGGUUCUUGUGAGUUCUGGCAAUUCCCGCUGUCUGAAAUUCACUAUACUUGCGGAACGGCACUGUUCCAUAGUGGUUUCCCUCCACAUAUGGUGGAAUUUGAGGGUCAGCUUCUCGGUAUCUGCGGGGGCGUUGUCCUUUUUUUUUGCCCCCAGUAUUACACAUAGUACAUCUAUGUUGGAAAGUAACGUGAUGAUAAAUUCAAGGACUGUUUCUCAUAUCUCUUGAUAUUGUGUUUGUUAAUAAUGAUAUAUGUUUAUACCUAUAUGUGUGUCACUUUCUAGCCUGUCAGUCGUUAGCUUGUGAUCGUGCUUUCUUUGAAAGUAUCGUGAUGAUCGACUUGAGGACUGUUUCUCAUAUCUCUGUAAAUGUAAUUGUUAAUAAUAAUAAGCAUAAAUUUAGAUGUGUGUAACUUGUUUAGUCUAUUGGUCGUUAGCUUGUGACCAUGUGAUCGAAUUCUCACAAUUCCCGCUGUCCGAAAUUCACCACAAAAAUUGCCUCACCAACAUAUCCUGUACUGGUGCCGUUCCACAUACGGUGGAAUUUGGGGGUUAGCUUUUUUUUUUUUUUAAAGUAUUACACAUAGUACAUCUAUGUUGGAAAGUAACGUGAUGAUAAAUUCAAGGACUGUUUCUCAUAUCUCUAAAAUAUUGAUUGUUAAUAAUGAUAUAUGUUUAUACCUACAGUAUAUGUGUGUCACUUUCUAGCCUGUCGGUCGUUAGCUUGUGAUCGUGCUUCCUUCGUCCCUUGGCUUUUCAGACGUCAGCCUCCUCCUGCUCCUCUCUCAGCCCUCCUUCGCAUAAUUCUCUCUACUGUUGAAAAUACAGUCGUCCACCAUAAACUAUAGCAGCAUCUGCAACUUCUUUGUGCAACUGAUCGACCUGAGUUUGUGACGAAGUAAAACUGAGAGUCUGAACAAUCAUAUUUCCUGGGACUGCAGGGAGCCAUUAUCAAAAUAAAAUCACCCACCUCAACUCAGUACUACUGUUACAAGUUUAACUUCAAUUUAUCUUGCAAAAACUGCACAAAUAUUCACUUUAAUGUAAUUAAUACACAGACUUAAACCAGUAUUAACACAUAGUUAAGUUUGCAACACUUGCUUUGGAUUAUUUAUUCAAGUUUAAGUCGAAAUUCUUCUUUAACAAACGACAGCCGACCGUGUUAAGCCUUUCACAAUGCAUCACCAGUAGCUAGUGUUGACAUCCAGAAAAAAUCAGCUCUGGGCCAUACAGUUGAUGUCAGGUCAAGCUGUGAUUUUGAACAGUUGAUAAAACGGCUCCUGUUUGUAUGAAUAAACCAGUAAACAAUAUUUCCCCCACCCUGGGAGUUGCGCAGGGAGUCGUCCAAAACAUAUGGAAAUUUUCAGCUGCUGGCUACCCUCAUUUGAGCAGCGGGGCACCACAAAUGAAGCGGGGAAAUGUCCUAAACUGUGUAUUAUUUGGCUGAAAACGUACUGUUAUAGCUCCGGAUUGUGUUCUGUGUCGAAAACAUGUGAGAAGUUCAAGUCAGAAACUGCAGAAACUCCAGGUUACUCCACAAAUCAAAGACAGGAGUGAUAUUGCACAUGUAAACAGAGACACUGAGCCCGUCAUGACUGUGGUCCCAGUUUAUAUCCCUUGUUGUCCUCCUAUUUCUGUUGCACAGUCUGGCGGUGCACAUGGUGGCUUUACAAUGUGUAACCCUAUGCCCAGGUGUUCCCUCAACCCCAUCUGUUCCCUCUGCGCCCCAGAGCCUCAGCAUGGAGUGGAGGCUCACUGUUGAGAGCAGUGAUUUCAAAUCAAGACAGUAUGAUUAUAAAAAAUUAGAAAACAAAUUAUGUCUCUGAUUUUAUUCCCAUAUAACUCUAUUCAAGCACGGUUAUUGGUAUUUACGCCACAACCUGUCCACCAUGCUUUAUCGCGCUCAUUACCACUAACUAAAGCUGUCAUUUGGUUGCUUUACCAUGGUAACCGGUUCUAAUCAGGGUUGUUGCUGCGUGAACAAACAUCACAUUUCCAGUAACUGUCAGUUUACAACAUCGCUGUUGAUAUGAAACUCAUUCGACAGAAAACUGCGGCUGAAAGUGAUGUUCCAAAAGGUGAAAAGGACUUCUGCUGCGGGAGUGUUUUUAGCCCGCUUAUUUUGUUAUUCACAUUAAAUCGAAUAUUUCCAUCGAAGGUUAUAUAAGACAAGGUGAACGGGUCUUCAGGAGAAAAACAUGAAUGUUGACUCGUUUCCUGAAUUCUGGUGUUGAAACGCCUCUAAAUAUAAAUGAGGCACAAGUCUGCGCUGGGGUUCGGGAUGACCUUAUUCCAACCUCUGCCUGGGACUCUUUGUUUUGGCUGAUUUUUCAGGGACAAAAUGUAAGAUAAACCUUGUGAGUGUUGCAUCUCAGACAUUCAUGAAAUUACCUGAAAGUGACGCCUUUGAUGGGGCGUUCACACCAAGCCCCAGUAAAUCUACUAUCUACUAUCUAGUCGCUUAAUUCACGCCAAUCUAGACGCGUAAAUGAAAAGUAUUUACUCGCUUCAUUUGCGCUCGUCAAUGGUAAUUUCGACAGUAAUCCCUGCCUAUUCAACCAAUGGGAUUAAGUGAUAGACAAAGGGUUUUUUACAAUUUACCAGGUAAUCGGACCUCCUCACGCACUUGCCUCCGGUUUCUCUAAUUGAAAGUAAAGGUAUCGUAAAAUUCAGGGCACCCACAUGCCGACACGAUCAGUUCGUCCUCCAUUUAACCCCCAAUUUCCACCACAUCUGGAACGGCCACGAAAAGGCCAUAUCUUCCGAUCGCAAGCUGAUUGCUACCAUUCAAGUUAUUGUGUCAAUUUCCAACGGCUUCUCUCUGUUCCACUGUGGAUCGCCGGACUCUGCAGCUGAUCGCAAGAGUUCUAUUUUUCUGGACGCCAGAGCAUGCUAGAUAAAUUCAGCACAGAUUAUCCCGUGCUGGAAAGGACACACUUUUCAAAAUAAAACACUCCAUGUUUCAGGCAGAUCGUAUUUCACACCAUGCAAACGGGCGGGGAUGAACAAGUGAAAGGUUACACCAUUUCACCAUUUCAGCAUUUUAGGAGAUGCUGAUUUAUAAGUCUAGAAGUAGAUUUCCUCCUCUAGGACACAAUCUACUGCUUACAUGGUUAGCCUAUGUGGCUAGAGACAACUUGUUAUCGCGUGGUUGCAGGUGAAUCCGCGGGUUCUUGCGAGUUCUCACAAUUCCUGCUGUCCGUAAUCUGCCAUGAGAUUCGCCUCACAAACAAAAUCCCAGGUAAGAUACCAGUGAACAACUGUCCAUUUUCACACGUCACCCGGCAACUUCUGUGCUGAUAAGUUAAAGCAAAACCAAUGUCCGCUCAAGAUGAGACAUUUUCAGCACACGCCCAAUUCACAUCAUUCGCACCGCCAGAGUAGUAGGGGCGUCUUAUCGUGUCUUUGCAUUGACUUAACAUGUAAUUCAUUCUUGCAAAUGAUUUUACUUGGUGUGUGGAGACAGUAAAGGAACGUUUGCGGAUAUCCUGACGUGCCUACUCAGCACCGCACUGAGACCCGUUAUCAUCUACGAAAUCCGGACCUCUACGUUGGCUUCAGUCUCAAACGAAAGUUAAGCUUCAGCACCGAGUUUAACGGCCCUCACAGUACAUUGAUAUAGUCCAAACUGGCUGUGGUACUGCAUGAAAUAAUCAUUUUUAUUGCUUGGCAAUCAAGCAGAAUUGUGUCUAAUUAAAUCACACGCUGGACAUCAGAGUGUGUGAAACCAAAAAAAGAGGGGAGAAAUCCCUCUGAUGGUCAUUUCUGUGAUCAUUUCGCAGCAUUAUUAUGAGCACGUUGGUGAUCAUCAAGGUUAUAACUGAGCGGUUCUGACAUUGCUAAUUGAGACCAGAAACGAUGAUUGAAUUUGCUCUAAUUUACCGACUGAUCUGCCAAUAUCGGCCGUGGCAAACACACGGGGUGGCCGGUUUUAUUGGCUCUGUGCAGCACAUUAUUUUCAUCUUCUCCCUUCACAGAUCAAGGGUACAGAUGACUUUUGUCAGCCAUCAGAUGCUGUGUGGCAGAUGUCACAGCAUUUAUUGUCACCAUGAUUUAUUGGUUCAGAAUGACCAGCGCCACGGGGAAGAACACAUCAAAAAGGCCAGGCGCUGGUGAAGGGGAGCUUCUGAAUGCCAACUCCUCCAACAACUUUCAUCCCGGCUCUCUUAGGACCGCACAUUUUGCUGCUGGUUAUUGUUUGGCCAUCUGCUGUAUUUCCAGCCUCUCUGACUACACCGCUAAGCAAACACGGAGUCUGUGCCAGAUAGCGUCACCUUCCUUUUGCCCCUCUAAUUCUGCUCUACUGGGUUUCUUUGGUGGGAUGAAGCGUUGAAUUCGCUCGAGUCGUCGACGACAGAGGUUUAUCAUAAAAGAAAUUAACCCGCUUUAACCUGUUUUCUCUCUUUAAAGACAAAAAGAAGUAAACCUGGAACAUAAGUGCAGAAAAUUCCUGUCUGAAAAACUCUCCAUUUCCUCAUCUGAACCUGUUUUAACCUUUGGCAUCCAGCUGAAACAGAUAUUACAGACACAAAUAUUGAUUUCUGGUGUUUUGUUUGCUGGUAAAAGUUCAGCUUCAGUUUAACCUAGUGUAUUUCUUUUUCCAAGGACAUAUUCCUAACCCCCUGAUGGAUAUUUGCAUAAUUGAUUUGCCAAGAACAAUAGGGUUUUAUGUUCUUCCCUUCCAUGUGUAUUCAUACCCCAUCUUUUUUUACGCACUCUUAACUUCCUAGUGGUUCGAUUUUUGAAGCUAUUCGCCGUGACCCAUCAUGUUUCGCUAACCUAAGCCGAGUGCAUAACAAUGCUCCGGUGUCCUUGAACGUGUUGCAUAAUAAAAAAAACUGAAAUUAAAAUGACACCUUCACUGUGAAUGUUCUGCAGCAGAGAUUCAACUACAACUCUCAGCUCAGUAUGUUGAUUUAUACUGAAGAUAAACAGUUUUUCUCACUUUAAAAACUCAAAUAUUUUUAAUUAGAACUGGAUAAAACAAUCUACUGCCUGGAAAUAUCCAUAAAUAGUUUUUUUUUUUUUAACAGAGCUGGGGGUUAUCAUCUGAGGGGGGAGGCUUUGUUUACAGUCAGAAAGAGCGGACCACUCAAAACAUUUAAAAUGUUGACUACACAAACAUAAGAGAACACAGGGAUAUCAUAACAUUACCAAAUGUCAUCAAUAACCAAUAACUAUUGACUGAUAUUAAAAGCUUGUUUGCUUCUUUAACAGAUUCCUGCCUACCCCACCUUUAAAUAAACUUAUCAAUAUGAAUUAUCUAACUGUAAAUAAAGUAAACAGCUAGAAUUUUACCACAAUCAACAAAAAUAUAAUUAAACACAAAAACUUCAAUUAUCAUCCACAUAUUGAUGAACUCAAAUAGGUCCUAGGCUCCUACAGGCUGCAUGAAAGAGUGACGAGAUUGAAAAUGUAGGACUCUAUUAAAGGGACCUGAGCUGCCCCCCAUUCUGUAGUAACUGUAGUUGUAAUCUAGUUUAAUGCAGCUCUAUGUGUUAGCCCGCUGCACCUGCAUGCUUAGCUCAUGGCGGUGAUAUUUCAACACCAUUUGACACAAAGUGCACAUUACAUUUGACUUGUAGCAGCUUAUCUACUGUGUGCAUAACAAGAUUAAUGCAUUCACCUCGCACCUUUGUCAUACUGCUAUAAUCACAUUAACACCAACAGUCUUAUAUUAGAUUAAAAAACACUUAUUUGUGUUUCUUUAUGGGCAUGAUUCAAAAAUCUAGGCACCAUUUGUCAAUAUUAGAGUACAGGAUUAUCCCAGGGGGAGUAAAUCCAUCUUUUUAAAUCCUAAAUCGCUCUCUGACAUCCUGAUAAAUGUGAUAAAUACAAAUAUUAGGUUUAAUUUUAAGGUAUUUAUAUGCAAACUUGCCAACAAGACACAAGUUCAAAGAAUAACAUUUACUUUGGAGACGCAGGCACCUUGGGACGUGAUGCCAGCAGAACAGAUCAGAAAUAAUUUCCCAUUACCCUCGCUCCAUCAUAUUUGAAAUACAGCUAUAUGAGGUCAACAGCGAGAAAAAGGCGGUAAUAUCCGGAAACGCUGUCUUGAAUAUGAACAAAGCCUCUCUGUUGUGGAGCUGCGUUACCUUUGUUUCCCCCCUCCGCCACCGCCGCUGCCGCCGCCGAAGCAGUUUGCUGCAGCAGUCAGCAGAAAUGACGAACAAAGCUUUCACAUACCUCUCAGCGAAGCGUUAUUAACAGUGAAAUUCAGCCCGACAAAAGUGUACAAAUGCCUGGCUGACACUUCCAAUACUUAUCCGCAAAGAAUUAUGAUCGCAAAGCAUCCCACUGAUGUUUCACCUUCAAGGCUGACCUUGUGACGGCUAUUCUCUGCUGAUGCUUGCCAGAGAUAAAAGCUAUGAGCCCUUCUCACCCCCCAUGCCAAGGACACACGCAUCAUCGCUUUACUGGCCUAUCUGCCCAGGUGAUGCAUGGCUCCUAUAGCCAGUCAGUCUGAGGCAGUAUUUAUAACAAAGUGUGUGAGGCAGCAGGCAACUCAUCACCGUCGAGACCUCGGGAUCCUUGGUCUCUGAGUGCACUUGCAUGGGCUUUGUUAUCCGCUGUGCACACAUUAUAAAUUUAAUCUUGUUUUUUAAGCUAUGGAAAUGCAAAUGAGGUGUCAACGAAGGGGAGAAUGGGUGUGAUUUUAAAGAUAUAUUAAUUCUGCUUUGAGGACUCAGCGUGAUUUAUUUUGAGAAUGAAAUGUCUUUUCAUCUCUGCGCAGUGCAUCAAAACCUGAGUGGAUUUAAAAGACAGGAGUCGGAGGAAAAAGAAAAAGAGUUUUAUCAAUAGAUCCUUCAAACCAAUUUGUUGUAAGUGCCUUAAAAGACAAAACGCGCAUUAGCGACAGAAUAAAACCAAAUGAACAGACGGAUGAAUGCCGAAUGUGAUUCGACGAGAAAAAAAGAGACGAGAUCGAGUCUCGGUGUGGAGACGGGACAUCUCAUGACUGGCGGGAAAGUGAACAGCAAAGAGCAGCCAAUGCUUGAAAUUCAUUAGGUAUCAGUGGGAGACAAAGCACUGACAGGUGUUUAUGCAAAUCAUCGGCGGACGGAUUCAUCUCCCUAAUGGGGGAAACAGCAGUCUCAGAAUAAUGUGAGGCAUGUGGAAGUAAAUGAUAGUCCACUUGUGAAGUCAUGAGCAUAUUGUGAGCUGUACAGAAAAGACACAGUUGGAAUUAAGAAAUAUGGAGGGCUAUCUGUUGUUCCUUUCCAGGGAACAUAUGGUAUACUUCUUACUAUGCCAUCACUCUGCGAACAUAUUGUCUCACAGUUUGGAGAAGUUGCUGCAUUUUAAAUUAAGACAGAUAUUUGUGUAGAGAGUUAAUCUUGCAAAGCUUUUGGGCUUUUUUCACCGUUGUUACACCGAGUUUAAGUAAUCUGCUUUAAUUUCUGUACACCGCUCAGUGCUGUGAGUCAAUCUGCAGCAAUACAUUAGACGGUCAGGGGUAGCGGUCUGACUGCCCAGCAUAUGCCAUAGUGGAAAUGCCAAGGGUGAAGGGUGACAGUGGUCCGUGAGGGCAGAUGACAUGCUUCUGGCUGAAUGAUUUUGUGUUUGGGGGAAAAAAGAGCUUCAAAAGCUCAGAGGAUGCAAAACAAAAUCACAAGCAAAGGUCUGACAAUGUAGAAAAAAGAUGCAAAAUAAAAUGUCGCUCCUCAAAAUGAAAAAAAAAAAAAAAGGUAUGGCCUAAGUUCGACUGUAGUGAAGGUUUCACAGAUAUCUGAAUAAUCGCUGUUUCUUAUUGGAGCCCAGUCUCACUCACCCCUGUUCACCAUGCAUUACCCUGGGGUGUCUGGGAGGGGAGCAUUAGCCUGCUUAUUAUUAUUUAUUAAAUUAAAUUGACCAUUUUAUCGACUUUUCCAGUGUUAUGUUAAACCAAUGCUCGGUUAUCUCCAGUUAUCUCGGAAGUCGGAGCUGGGAAUGAUAUUACACUUGUUACAAUGUUAAAUAUGUUCUGGUAAACAAGUUGGAAAACAAAACUAGACGCCUACUGAUGUAACUAUGGUUGUAACGUUUAGCCAUUGUUAGCCGUUGUUAGCAGGUAGCUAACAGAUGAUCUUGAUUUAACAUGUGAGUCACCAGUUGAGUUUUCAGUCUCUUUACGGUUGAUACACCGUGAAACUACAAUAUGACAAUAAACAAUGAUGUUAUAUGUUGUGUAACUUGUUUUUUUAACACAAACAAUAAUCUCAUACAAUACUAAUCCACAUAAAGAAGAUUAACAACAACGAAUAAUCGCCGAUUAGCUUAAUGCUAACGUUACAUUGGAAAUGUCAUUGACAGGCUAGCGCGUUAGCAUCACUCCAUUUCUAAAGUAUGCCCACAUCAAUAAUGAACUGUUUUUGAAGUUUUAACAGGUAAAUUCAACACAGUAACAACCAAUACUCACAGACAAGGGCGUUACAGGUACAACUGAGAAAAAGUGAACGAGCAAAAACCAACAACAACUUCGCUAUAAACUGCUGGUCUGUUUACAGAAACUACAGCAAGUCUGAAGAGACACACAGCACGGCAGAGUACACAAUCCCCUUCUCAACAAUGCAAAACACAGGAUUUGACUCAAACAAACACCAUAGUACCAUGUCCACAGUUAGACGUUGGACAGCACUACAUACGCCACUUAAUUUCACAAAAAACAAACAGAAGUGCUGCUAAUAAUAAUACAUCAUGAGAGCUUUCAUGGUUACUGUUGAUGCACAGUGCUGCCAUCUUUGAUUAUGACAUUGUGGUCAAGUUGGGGUUGGUGAAGAUCGGACGACUUUUUCAGUCAGAGAUCCAAAUUCAUGGGGGUCUUUUAUAUGAAUUUCCGACUGGGACUAUUACAAUUGGAAAGCAGCAAAAGUAGGCUGACCAUAUUCUGAAUCAAGACCAAGAGGACGUGACUAGGUGGGGGUGGAGUCACGGUGUUGUGUGUAGUUAAUUUUGGGAGUUUUUCAGUUGGAUUGAGAGUUUUUUACACACUUCAAACUCAGUCAGUCCACGUGACACAAACUCGAAACUUCCAUACAAAACCUGGAAAUUUGAAGGAUUUUAUUAACUCCCCCGGACAAAGCUGGACAAAGCCGGACAGCCCCAAAAAAGAGGAAAGUGUGGGUAAAAGAGGACGAAUGGUCACCCUAAGCAUAAGUCUAAAUGGAGCAACGGUGAAGUCCACCAGUUAAGCAUGCUGAUAGAAACUAUCAUUUCGACUGAUGAGGAGCAAAAUGUGUCGGGGACUACUUUACGUGGAUUGAUUUGAUGUGACGUGUGAGAUCUGCUUAACUACUCAAGUAUUUCACACACAAUGCUUUGACUUUAUAUUACAACUUAUUGUCCCAGUCAUCUAAGGUGAAAUGUGAACACGUGUGUUUGUACGGGAGUGGGAUGACAAAGUUUUGAGAAGCCCUCCGAGAUAAAAUAGUAGACACACUCGACUUGUCAGUGACAGAUGACUUAAAAAGGAGUCGUAUCACAAUAUUUGCUAUUUUAGAAGUUUCCCACUCUUAGUUUGUAACAUCCCGGCUAUUUCUCAUCAUGACAUCAAUUAACACAAAGUCUGAUAAAUAUUCAAAGUUCCUUUCAUAUCCUGUCAUGGGGGAACAAAAUACAGACAGUACACAGGGCUUACAUCUUAUUAAUGACUCAUUUACUUUGAUCACAAGCUGUCAUUCCUCUGUUUGUUUUUCUCAUUCUGUGCCAUUCAGCAUCUGCCAAGAGACCGUAAAAAAUCGGAGAGCGUUUAAGAGAAAAAUCAAAGUUGCCCCAACUGUGAACUGUUGAGUUUGAUAAGUGUCUGACACACAAACGCCUAUAAAUGAUGUGAACGCUGAAGUGAUUUAUGAGAGGCUUAAUUACACAUCUACAUUCAGGCUACUGUAUCCUCUCUAACACCCACAGCUGUUACACAAACUUCAAAACAAUGCAUACUUUAGGCAUGUUUAUGUAACGUGUCUAUAGGGGGUUUGUAUGUUAAUGCUGAGUCCUUGAUAUUCCAGCAGAGACUUCCUAUUUUUAGUCUGCACAGCAGUUCCUCGCACAGAUUUUCUCUAAUGAAUACUCUCUUUGUUUCAUGAUUCACAGCCACGGCCUUAAAACACAGACGCUGACCAUGGAUUAAAGUUUCAUAUCUGACAACAGCAGUCUAUUAAAGAUUAUGAGGCUCUCUUAAUACAUCUUUUACAGCAGGUUACCGCUCCUAUUCCUUUCUUAUGUUUAUUUAACCAGCCUUGGGAGAGGCGAGGAAAUGCCUUCAAAAAAACGAUUGUCAGUUUGAUCAAAUAUCUGGAUGAACACUCUUCAUUAUAAUUCAAUGCUGUAAGUAUGUUUUAAUAUUAGUUUAUAAUCACAACUGCUGCAUUAUGGAAUCUUGAAGUCAGCCCUUUAUGUUGACAUAAUAUGUCUAUUAUAGUGUUUCUACGGUAACUCAGAAUGGACAAACGUUUAACAUACAGGACUGAGAAUAAGGAGGGAGUCGUGGUUGUUGUGCACAAAAAAAACCCUUAACAAAUAGAGGAUUACAUUUAGCUUGCAUCAUUGCUAAUUUUUGUUGUCAAAGGCAGCAAUUGCUAAAAUGGGAGGAGUGAGCAAGGAAGUAUUUUUAGUUAAGAUUUUGAUCUGUUAGCGUGUGAGAUGGUGAUUUUUAAAAGUUUGUUAUCUUUAAAAUGACACAUGGCUUUAAGAAAGAGAAUAACGGCCA